AGUGAACGCUGGCGGUAGGCCUAACACAUGCAAGUCGAACGGCAGCACAGUAAGAGCUUGCUCUUACGGGUGGCGAGUGGCGGACGGGUGAGGAAUACAUCGGAAUCUACUUUUUCGUGGGGGAUAACGUAGGGAAACUUACCCUAAUACCGCAUACGACCUACGGGUGAAAGCAGGGGAUCUUCGGACCUUGCGCGAUUGAAUGAGCCGCUGUCGGAUUAGCUAGUUGGCGGGGUAAAGGCCCACCAAGGCGACGAUCCGUAGCUGGUCUGAGAGGAUGAUCAGCCACACUGGAACUCGGACAGGGUCCAGACUCCUACGGGAGGCAGCAGUGGGGAAUAUUGGACAAUGGGCGCAAGCCUGGUCCAGCCAUACCGCGCGGGUGAAGAAGGCGUUCGGGUUGUAAAGCCCGUUUGUUGGGAAAGAAAAGCAGCAGGUUGAUACCCCGCUGUUCUGACGGUACCCGAAGAAGAAGCACCGGCUAACUUCGUG
RNAcentral lists this ribosomal RNA (492 nucleotides) under uncultured bacterium. RNAcentral describes it as "partial 16S ribosomal RNA". It matches the Rfam family "Bacterial small subunit ribosomal RNA", at positions 29 to 507 of the family's 1533-position model. The record is from RNAcentral.